CACGUAGGGCGCGAGCGUUGUCCGGAAUUAUUGGGCGUAAAGAGCUCGUAGGCGGCCUGUUGCGUCCGCUGUGAAAGCCCGGGGCUUAACCCCGGGUCGGCAGUGGAUACGGGCAGGCUAGAGGUAGGUAGGGGAGAAUGGAAUUCCCGGUGUAGCGGUGAAAUGCGCAGAUAUCAGGAGGAACACCGGUGGCGAAGGCGGGUCUCUGGGCAGUAACUGACGCUGAGGAGCGAAAGCGUGGGGAGCGAACAGG
Molecule: ribosomal RNA, 253 nt
Filed under: uncultured bacterium
Lineage: Bacteria
Description: partial 16S ribosomal RNA
Rfam family: Bacterial small subunit ribosomal RNA
Source: RNAcentral